CGCAGACAGGAAAAAUAAAAAGAGCUAGACCAAGUGAAUCAAUGGCACUUCAAAUCCCAUUUCCUGUGCUGUACAGUGGUUGAUCCCUUCAAGGAAAGUGGGUUUGGAGAACAGAGCAGGCUCUAGGCAAGUAGAAAAACUCUAAGUAUCUCUAGAGGUAGCUUACAUGUGCCCUGAAUCCCCAGCAUUCAGUUCUUACUAGAAAUAAUAGACUGUUUCUCUGUGGAAAGUGUGAAAUGCUUUAAAAUAGGUUGGAAUGGCUGAAAAACACUCUGAUAAAUGAGAGCAGAAUGUGCUAAUAAGAUCCUGUUGUUCCUCACGGAUGGGCCUUAGGGACCUCCUUUACGCUGCUCAUACAUUUUUGUAGCAGGAUUGGAAACACUCCUUAUCUUUUAUUUGAAGUAAUAAUCUUUGGCCAAAAAAAAAAAAAAGUCAUAAUCCCAUAGAAAAUGGCAUGGGAAAAGGAAGGUUCGAGCUUCAUAAGGGGAACAAAAAGCAAAAUCAACCCCUAUUUUAAGGAAAAUGGGUCAUGGUAUAAUUUCCUCUCCCAAUUUGUAAAAGGGAUUCCAGAGUCCUUUUCUGAGACUGGUUAACAGAAGGGCUGAGCCCCUCACCUGGAGGGGUGAAUUAGGUUAAAGAAUGGAUCUGAGUGCUGUUUGGGUUUUGGGUUUUGUUUUUGCUUUUUGGUCUUUUUAGGGCUGCCUCUGCAGCAUAUGGGCAUAUGGAAGUUCCCAGGCUAGGGGUUGAAUUGGAGCUGUAGCUACACCACAGCCACAGCGAUGCAGAAUCCAAGCCGCCUCUGUGACCUACAUCACAGUUCAUAGCAAUAUCAGAUCCUGAACCCACUGACUGAGGCCAGGGAUCGAACCCGUGUCCUCAUGGAUACUAGUCGGGCUCAUUACCACUGAGCCACAACGGGAACUCCAGAUCUGGCUAUUUCUUGACCUUGCUCUGACUGCAACAAUGAAAAACAAGUUGCGUGAGCUUAAAUACAGGGAUAAUGAUGGUGAUGAUGAUGACGGGAAGGUGAUGGUGAUGAAAAUUCUGAUGAUAAUGGGGGGAAGUUGGCGAUGACGAGGAUACUGAGGCAUUUCAUAGAUUCCAACGAAAAUCUGAACCACCAAGCCAAUAGAAAGCUAGGAAGGCAGGGCGCCUCUCACGUUUUCAGCAAGAAAAGUUGAUCGGUCUUGGUUCUAGGAUCCUGGUGUUACUUACCGCUGCUCUCCACACCCACUCUCCUGAGAGAGACCACAACGACCUCCCCUCCAAUCAUUUUCCCUGUGACUCAAUGCGCCAUGGCCUGAAGGGAUGUGUCACGCAGGGGAAUCAUGAGUGUUUCCCAAAGAACAAUCCCAGGCAACACCACUGGCCUUUACCACGGUCUUCCAAAAACAGAAUAAAAUAGAAUAGAACGCAAGGUCCCA
This 1424-nucleotide long non-coding RNA is filed under the name Sus scrofa (pig). RNAcentral describes it as "lncRNA (ENSSSCG00025074947.1)". Lineage: Eukaryota; Metazoa; Chordata; Mammalia; Artiodactyla; Suidae. The record is from RNAcentral.